This is a non-coding RNA of Salmo salar (Atlantic salmon), 54 nucleotides long. The record is from Rfam. Lineage: Eukaryota; Metazoa; Chordata; Actinopteri; Salmoniformes; Salmonidae.
ACUCACUACAACUGUAAGUUGCUCUGGAUAAGAGUGUCUGCUAAAUGACUAAAA